GUAACUUCCAAAUUACAUAUACUAAAAUUGGAACGAUAAAGAAGAUUAGCAUGGCCCCUGCGCAAGGAUGACGUGCAAAACCGUGAAGCUUCCCACUUUUUU
Molecule: small nuclear RNA, 102 nt
Filed under: Rhipicephalus sanguineus (brown dog tick)
Lineage: Eukaryota; Metazoa; Arthropoda; Arachnida; Ixodida; Ixodidae
Source: RNAcentral